CCAGCAUGCGCCGGAGAGUAGACGACGGCAUCUUUUUCAGAAACUCACGCUCAAUCGAGUCCACGCACUUGAGGGCCAUGUAGAAGUUGUUGUUGGAGAGAUGAAAAUUGGCUCGGGAGCAGAGCUCGACUAAUUGAGCACAGGUCCGAAGAGAUUCGAUGGCGAGAGUGAUGUUCUUGCAUUUGUUGCGGGCCUCGACGAAGGAGUCCAGGGAGGUGAGCAAGGGGAGGGCGACGGACUGAAGCUGGGAGUUGGAAAUGGAGAGAGAGGAUUUGAGGGAAUCGACGUCGGAGAGGAGGGAGCGGAGGUCGUCGACUGCCAUGAUGAAGUCUUGGUAGUGGGCCCUACAAACGUCCUCGAUUUCGGACUCUUUGGAUCGGGAGAAGUGUCGGAGGUGGUGAAGGAGGGUCUCGGGUUUACCGGAGGCGAAGGCCUUGCGGACGAAGGGGCCUAAGUCCUCGCCGUUGCAGAUGGCAGCAGAGACGAGGAGCUGGUCUUGUUUGUCGGCGGAAUCGCCGUUGUCAGUUGAAGCCGGAACUACUUUCCGGCGCAUCUUGGACGAGUGCAUGGGAUGGGUUGGGGAGUUGGAACGGACAGUAAGUGCUAGAGCGACGGAGCCGCUGAAAAUGGAGGGGAUUUAGGAAGGAGGAAAAUAAAACCCGCCAAAAAAAAAAUAAAAAACGGAGUUGGGAGACUGCUGAAGAAGAAGAAGAAGAAGAAGAAGAAGAUCGUGGGUUGGCGAAAAGUGGGGUGGUUAGGACUUAGGACAUUGAGGAGGUCCGCUUGGAAUUUUAGUCCCCUCCAGUAAUCUUCUUAGGUAUCUAUUGACUAAAAUGCCACUGGAUGGAUUGGGUUGGGUUGGGUUGGGUUGACGGGGUUUGUGCUUUGUUCUUCAUCUCAUCUCAUAGUUAAAAAGAUGCUCCAGGAAGUGUUACGUAAAAGGUAAGGAAUUAAAAAAGGGCAGUCAGAAUUUGAAGGAAGCAUUUCGAGUUCUUUUCGUCAUUUUCCUGCUCUCAUUUCGCACGACUGUUUGAAGUCGAAGUAUUAGUCAAAAAUAAAUCAGACGCCGUCCAAAAAUAUUUCCAAUUGUCGACCCCCGGUGGCCAACUGCCUCGACGUACACAACGCAGCUACGGACUACAUACCAAUUUCGCAUCUUAUUGUAUUCCGCCCUAAACUUUAUAAUUUCUCAAAGAUUGUGUUUGGAUCGGUGGAUUUGAUUGGAUCGGUGGAUUUGAGUCAUUUGAAUUUAGCGAAGGAUGUGAUUCAUUUGGAUAAGUGGUUGUUUACAAAAUAUUAUUUCAUUGCAUUACGUUUUUCAAUCAUCCUUUUUUUAUCUUCCUAACUUUCUAUUUAUCUCCAAUGUUUUGAAAAUUAGAUCGAUUUAAGCCGUCUAUGGAUUUGAUCUAGAUCAUAGUUUGGGUUGACCAGGCCUAAGACUCGGUCAAAAUUUUAUUAACCGUGCAAGCUGGAAUGCAUCAUAAACUGGCAGUUUAUAUGCUUUUUUGUCAAUUGAAAAGAAAAAAUGAUACGUUUUCUCAAUUCUAAAGACUAAUCACUAAAAUUUAUCUUUCAAAGCCCCAGUUCUUUGGAAAUAUUUUUGUUUUUAUUAGGUGAUGUCUUAAGUUAGUCCACGAGAUAUCUUACUCUAUGCAUGUAUAUUUAUAUAUUUUAUUUUUGAAAAAAAAAAGUUAUUGAACUCAGAUUGAAUCAGUCAGAUCGGUUGAAUCGCUAUUCAGACACUUCAUUAGUUCACUUAUCGAUCUGAGUUUUAAAACAUUAUUAUUUAUCUCACAUACAUCACAUCAUGAAAUGCGUUACAUUAAAUUCAUUCUUAUUUGAACACACUCGUUCUAAGGAUGGUGACUAAACGAGUAUUCUCGAAAUUUUUUCUUAUCAAACCCUAACCCGUUUAUUUUAAAUUUUUUAUCAAACCCUAUCGAGUGAUCCUACGAGUUUUAAUUACUAUUACCUAACCCUCUUCAUGCGAGUUCCAAUUACCCAUCGGGUACCCUCUAUCUGCUAAUUUGAAUGAUAAAAAAAAUAAUUAUUUUUAUCAAACUAAAAAUAAUUUAUACAUCACCGUAAAUCAAUAAUACAAACAUUGAGUCUCGUAUUUGGACAAAGCAAUAGAACAUACAUGUACAAAAUUCAACAUUUUAUGAAAACUAAAUCAACAUUAUUCUAUUUUUAAUCACAAUUGCCUCCAUUUGAGACUUCUAGUUAAAUCAUGCUUCUCACCACUAGCAAUUUCAGCAAAUUUCCAGAAGAAGAUUCAGACAAUCAUUCUCAUGGUCAUUUCCAAACAAUUAGUUUUAUACAAAACAUGACGGAGAACGCUUGGCACUAUGAAUAUGGAGAAUAAAAAUACAAACUAAAGAGAAUAAGAGGGUUAUGGAUUGUGCAACGACUUAGUAUAGAGUUAUGGGUUAUUAAACUAUCAAAUUAAGACCUAAAGUAUCAGUUAGUAAAUCAAUAUGUAAUAGUGGAAUGUGAUGGAUCAGACAAUGGCAGUAAAAGUUGUAACGAUCCUACGUCAGUUAAGGAGGAAGUUCUGGGGCUGCUUUAAUAGCAUGUGGUCUCUCUCACCUAGUUGAGGCCUUUUAAAGGGGUGCAGGGCUUCAUGACCUACGGGCUUGGGUUCCUCAUCUGUUGUGAUUUCACCCACCUCCAAAAACAAAAUUCACGGCCCAAUAGGACGAUUAACUGUGGGACAAUAUUGGCUAGGAUCGUUAGAAAAGUAUUAAAGAAUUGUUGAUUUGAACACCUUCUUGUACAUUUUGAAAUAAAUAGCUUAUGGGAAAAAUAAAGACAUAUAAAUUGAGUAAAUUCGAAAUUCAUCAUUUUAACUAUUAAAAUUCCUUCCACUUAUUGGGGUCAAAAAAUUCACGAGAAACCCUUACAAUAUCCGUUAAAACCACGCGAACGACUAUUGAGCGAUAGGUCCAUUUUGAUUUAUUGGGCUUUGGCAGGAAUGAUAAGUACCACAAUUGUUCACUUGCGUAAACUGGGCUGAAAUACAUCAUUUAGGGCUAGGUCCAUUCAAGCGCGACAACCCACACUCUCCCGAUUCCCAGUUAGAUAAAACGGCAGCAUACAACCCUAGCAUAGUAGUCUUCCUUCCCUUCCAGGCCGAAAAACAUCUAUCGUUUCUGCAGGCGCCGCAGUGGGGAAAAGGAACAGAAGCAGUAGCCAUGGUACUAUAUCCCAUUUACUGAAUAAUAGUUUCUGACUCAAAGCACUAGCAUUUCUUGUUGCAUUUAAUUAUGUUAGCAAUGGAUUUGUUUUCCUUUAGCUUUAAGGAGUUUCACCUCUUUUUUUUUUUUGGCUGAUUGGGUUCAUUAGGGUAUCGAUCUAAAGGCCGGAGGUAAGAGCAAGAAGACGAAGCGGACCGCUCCCAAAUCCGAUGAUAUAUACUUGAAGCUGCUGGUGAAGUUGUACCGGUUCCUUGUGAGGAGGACCGGUAGCAAGUUCAAUGUGGUGAUACUGAAGAGGUUGUUCAUGAGCAAGAUUAACAAGCCUGCUCUUUCGCUUUCACGGUUGAUCACUUACACCAAGGGCAAGGUGCCUAUCUUAACUCCCUCCCUCUGCCAUCAUUAUGCCCUUUUUGGAGAAUGUUAUGGGAAUAAUAAGAUCUUUGCUACUUAUUUCGUCCAGGGUUAAGAACUGGUGUAAUAUUUCCAUUCUGUUAGAUUUAGGUUGGCGAAUUUGAACUGCUUCUAUACACAGGAAGCUCCAGGGAUGGAAAUGUUGAAAUAGCAAACGGUUCCUAUCUUCUUAUUUAAAAUUUUUGACUGGUUGAUUCAUUUCCUUCAUUCUCUAUCGGUGCUCAACAUUUAGUACCCUGCCCCUGAGUCCAUUCAGGACAAAGUGCAAUCUAAAAGCCAAAUAUAGUAGUAUUAUUCUGUGUUAAUGUAAUUGAGUGUAGAAACAUGUGUUUGGUAUGGUGGUUCUCAGGAGGACAAGAUUGCAGUGGUUGUUGGGACUGUCACCGAUGAUACUCGUGUGUAUGAAGUUCCUUCACUGAAGGUCACCGCACUUAGAUUUACUGAGACUGCGAGGGCUAGGAUUGAGAAGGCAGGAGGAGAAUGCUUGACUUUUGAUCAGCUCGCUCUAAGGGCUCCUCUUGGCCAGAACACGGUAUGUGUGUGUGUAUACCACCAUGAUGCUCUUCCCUUGCAUGUUUUCUUUCAUCUGGCUGGCCCUUAGAAAUAUGUAACAGGUUCUCUCUCUUUUUUCCUGGGAAAUUUUAGUUUACCUGUUAGGUGCAAGGGAAUAAUUUAGUUUACCUGUUAGGUACAUGUAAAAGAGUGAUAACAUUGCUUGUAAUCGUACCUUGUAUUCGGAUUGUUCAUGCUUUUUUUAUCUCAAUGUGAUUCGCUGGCAAGUCUUUCUAUGACCUGUUUAGGCUCAGUAAACCUCUGUAAGCUUCUUGCUGAGGCCAAAUUGGAUAUGUUAGAUGGGUUUGCAACCUCUUGUGUAUUAAGUGUCUAAAUGGUUUCUGAAUUUAUGACAGUAGUGAAUAGCUGGAGAUUUAUGUUCCCCUCAAAGCCUGUGUAAUUUCAUAUGUUGCAGAUGGGCAGAAGGGAACUAAAUGUAGUUGUUAGAAAGACGCAAUUGAGUGGUUUUUGACUUAUACGAGGCAAUCUUUAUGAAUAUUGAACUUUUAAGAUGAAAAAUUAGUCGUAUUUACCUCUUAGAACUAACUGAAAAUUCUUCGAAUCUCUGUUCUGGCAUAUCUACCAGCUUCUUUUUGACCAAAAAUCCCCAAAAAAUUUAGUUAAUGGCAUGGAUUUCUUGGCUGUGGAACUUGUUCAUUUAGUUAAUGGCAUGGAUUUUUUGGCUCUACAAUGCAGGUACUUCUUAGAGGGCCUAAGAAUUCUCGUGAAGCAGUGAAGCACUUCGGACCAGCUCCCGGAGUACCACACAGCAACACCAAGCCAUAUGUUCGAUCCUCGGGAAGGAAAUUUGAGCGAGCUAGAGGAAGAAGAAAUAGCAGAGGAUUCAGAGUUUAAGUUGUUGUCAAUUAAUUGUUGAAGGCAUACUAAUAUACACUAUUGAGAUGCGUGCUUGAAACGUUCUGCCCUGCCCGCCUAUUUGCUUUCCUUGUUGUUUCUCCUUAAAUUAUUUUUUUCGUGUUUGAGACCUACUAGACGUAACAUUUAUCCGUAGCAGUCUCUUGAACUUGCACCUAUAUUUUUAAAAAUGUGGACAGCGUCCAUGGCUGAGAGUACAUUUCAAGUAAACAUUUCAUACUUUGAGCAGGCAGUGGUGCCAUUUAGGAAAUUUUCCAUUCGGAUUCAUAUCCUUCUUCUUUGCAACAUAUCUAAAUUGGCAAAUUUGGGAGAGGACUUGGCAGAUGUUCAAAUAAUGUCGCUCUUCACUAUAAUAAUUGAGUCAAAACUGGGCCAAAAAAAAAAAAAAGAAACCGAAAAUGAGCAUGGGGAUUUUUUGAGUUAUUUUUUUAUUUAAAUUUUUUCAUGUAAAAAUUUCCAUUUGCUGAAAGACAAUUAACGAGACACAAUAAUAAUUUGAGGAAUAAAAUCUUACUGCUUCCUAUAGAAGACUCGGCUGCUGAUACCGUUAAAAGCAAUAUUAUAGCGGAAAUAAGCGAGUGUUCGGUGAUUGUAGCUACUAAGUUUGUACGAUGCCUUUUCAAUUUCAUACGAGUACAAAGGAGAGGUAACAAAAUUACUUACACUAGGUUUUUUUAUUUUAUUUUAUUUCAGAUACAUUUAAUAAGAGUAUUUCCGUAGUAAGCACCCUCUUAUCAUAAUAGAUUGAUCUUGCUCUUUCAAUGGUCAUUAUGAUAGCGUGCUAUAUGAAAAUUUUGUUCAUUCAAGGAAAUUAAUAAAGUUUUGUUUAGAACAAUAAUACAUUUGUACAUGCUUUACUGCAAUCAUAUGUAUGAGGGACAUAAAAAGUAUAAAGCCAAAUAUACGGGAGGAUUAUUUGUAUGAUCUUCCCUUCUUAAUAAACUCACAAUCUUUUUUCAACUCGUUGUGUGAUGAAAUAUAAGAAAAUUUUAAACACCAAUAUAGGUACUUAUCACAUGUAUUAAUUUUUUUUAUAGACUGUUAGUGUAUAUAUUGACAGGUCUAAAUAUAUAUUACAUCAUUCUAAUUUAAAUUCGAACAUCAAAUUUUGUUAAUAUGAUAUGUAUUUAAACACGUAUACAUUAUCAGUACAUAAAAAACUUACUCUUAUAAAAUACUAUAUUUGUUCUUUUAACAUAAUGCAAAAAAAAAAAAAAGGGAAAUAAGGAUAACCAUUUUAGUAAAAGACCAACAUCAAUGAUAUUUUUCUUCCACAACUUCCUAACAAUAUAUAGGCUAAAGCAAGCAGUUUUCUGUCGGAAAAUUAUGUCGUUUUCCGUGAUCACAUUUCCCUAUUAUAUUUUUCUCUCACAUACAUCAAAUUGCUACAGUAUUUUUUAAGUUUUUCUUCCCCUCUUUUAAGUUUCCGUGAUUAAAUGAUUUCAACAAACGGGACCUUAAGUUUCAAAUCUUAUAUUCUUAAUCCUGAACUCCCAAACUAGGUAUUACUUUUUUUUUAAACAGUAACGAUAACAUUUUUAUAAUCUAAUUUAUUCUAAUCUAAAGAAAAGGAAAACAUAAAGAGGUUAUGUAAGGGGUUAGUAGGUAUAGGAACCUACCGGACCAAAUAGUUGCUAUGACACUUAUUUUAAAUUUUUUUAAUUGCAGAUAGAGUUCGAAUCCCCCCUGACUUAUAGUCCAAACUAGCCAUUACAUAGGGCGAAAAUUCAUGUGUUCAAACAAUUUCUUUUUUUUUUUUUUUGUUGGGUGGAAGAGUUCAAAACAAUUUCGACCUCUGUAUUGGUUCAAAUGCUGUAACCUCCUUAUUCCAACUUUUGUCAUCUUCCCGUGCGACUUUCUGAUAUCAAAUACGACUACGCUUACUAUAUUGCGUUGUAUCAUUCGCUCAUAUUUAGCGAGUACUCACUAUAAAAAUGAUUAACAGACUACCCACAUACUGCUACGACUACGAGCAUCCGAGUUUUGGUUCUUCAACUUUUCCACAGUACCCAAUGCCAACAAAAUAAAAAAUUAAAAUUGAAAAAAGGCCGCCCGAUUGGCGAAGUUGAAAUCAUCCAUCUCCAUGGACAAAAUACAGCACAGACAGGUACCCGUUAACGGAAUAAACCUGCACGUAGCGGAAAUAGGCGAUGGCCCUGCGAUAUUAUUCCUCCAUGGCUUCCCAGAGCUCUGGUACUCGUGGCGCCACCAGCUGCUCUCACUUUCUGCCAAAGGUUACCGGGCUCUUGCCCCUGACCUCCGCGGCUAUGGGGACUCCGACGCCCCGCCUUCCCCUUCCAACUACACCGCCCUCCACAUCGUCGGGGACCUGGUGGGCCUCCUCGACUCCCUGGGCCUCGACCGGGUCUUCCUAGUGGGCCACGAUUGGGGGGCCGUCAUGGCCUGGUACUUUUGCCUGCUGAGACCUGACAGGAUCAAGGCCCUGGUGAAUAUGAGCGUUGUCUUCACCCCUAGGAACCCCAAGAGGAAGCCCUUAGAGGCUAUGCGCGCUCGUUUCGGGGACGAUUACUACAUCUGCAGAUUUCAGGUGCUUGCUUCCGCUAAUUUUUUUUUUUUUUUUUGGCCGCUCUUCUUCUGGCGUUAACUUCACUUUUGAAAUUUUAAGUCCAUUUUUUGUUGUUGAUGAUUUGCUUAAGAGUGAAUGGCCCAAAAGGUCAUUAAAUUAUUAAAAUUGGCACCUUCUGGUCACUAAAUUUUUUUUGUGGUCGAAAAGGUCACUAAACUCGCAAAAACUCUCCAGCGAAGUCAUUUUAUCGAAUUUCAGCGGUUCCUCAUCCGGUAACAGGGUCAAUAUGUAGGGGAGGAAUAUAGUAAAGGGGCAAAAAUGUCAAACAAAAUAUGAUCAACCUUUUUCCUUCGUUGAAUCUUGAUAACAAGGAAUCUGCUCUAAAAUCAAUUUACCAAUCUCAAUCCCGCAACCCGCAACGUCUCACGUCCUCUUUAGCCCCACAAUAACACUUGGUUUUAACCAAUUUCGGGCACGAGGGGCAGGGCCCUGGGUGACACAACAACAAGCAUUCGUGCCCACAAUUGUAUGUCAACGGCCUACCACAGAUUUCUCCACAAGAACUUAUGAGGUGGGUUUUCGAGUUUUCCACAAAAACAAUAGUAAUACUUGGGGGUCUGCGAUUUGGGAUACUCGAUCCGGCAUUUGGGGCAAUGCCAGCGGAGGGUGUCAUCGUUAAGAGUGGCGGCGCGUGAGGCAGCCCGUGCAGCUGCAAGAUUUGAGGAUUGGUGGGCCCAGGAUUGGAUACAGAGGAGGUGGAAGACUGCGAAGCAGCGGGAGGAGCAGGACCAGGUGGGAUCGGUGGGUUUGAUCCGUUCAAGGCAUAUGAGGCAUGAGAGAGCCCCUCAGGAACGAUUGGAUCUUUAUCAGGUCUUGAUGUUGAGGGGAGGAUUGGUGACCGGUGAGUUCGAGGUAGGAUUUAAAGAUGGAGGAGAGGUCAGUGAGUUGGUGCUAGCGGGAACUGGUGCCGGAGUCGGAAUCUGAGUCGGAGGACGGUGGAGAAAGUGGCGGUAGGAGGGUAGUGUUGGAGGUCGCCAUUACGGGCCUUCCUGCGGAAACGAGGGUUUGGGAUUGAGACAAUCUAUGACUUCACCUAUUCCAAUAAUCUUUCGGACAUUUUUGCCCCUUUACUAUAUUCCUCCACUACAUAUUGACCCUGUUACCGGGUGAGGAACCGCUGAAAUUCGAUAAAAUGACUUCGCUGGAGAGUUUUUGCGAGUUUAGUGACCUUUUCGGCCACAAAAAAAGUUUAAUGACCAGAGGUGCCAUUUUUAAUAGUUUAGUGACCUUCUGGGCCCGUCACUCUUUGCUUAAUUUGUGGGCCUUUCUUUUGUUCUUGAUGUUUCGGUUGUUUUGCUACUGCUAGUCAUCUCUUUCUUUUCGGUUAAGCAAAAGAUAACAGGGCUGUAAGUACAGAUUUUUUAGCUUGUACGUAAGUGCAAUAUGUCGUUGCUCUGCCUUCUCAUAGUCAUGCAUCUGCACUGAGCAGCAAACUUCUGGUAAGUUAGGAUUAUUAACAUUGUAGAGACACACAGAUUAAGGAGAGGCUUAUGUGUGCAUCGAUUCUAUUUUAGGCAAGCUGUUGGAUUUCAAGAUGGGUAUUGAUCAUGCUUCAUUGAUCUAACUCAAUGAAAAUUUCAGGAUUUGGUGCUUUAUUACCUUUAGGUGUCACCUGAGCAAGCCCAUAGGUUACAGGUUUUAGUUAGGUCUGGAUGACUAUUCAUUAUCCGUUUGAUAUCUUCCAGCUGCCAACUUUGGCAGUUGAAAAUUUCACCACCUGUCUUCAAUUUUGUCCAACCUGCAAUGGAGUUUAUCUCGAUGAAAUAUCUAAUUACCUGCCUUGUCAUUUCAUUUGUAUCCUUGUUUUGUUAGGAGACUGCAGCUUGCAAGAGUUUUGUUUUUCAUUUUUUAUGUUCAAUUAUUGUGAAGAUGUCAAUUUGAGCUUAUAGAAGACCUAUAGUAUACUUUUAAGUACAGUACAUAUUAUGUAGCCCGUUUCAUGUUGUAGUCUGUGGAGUUUUGGUGAAACAGCUGCCUCUUAAGUCAUAUUUCGGACAUGAAAUGCUUCUUGGUUUAAUCAUUCAAGUGAGCAAAUGCAUUGGCCUUCUUUCUACAUGAUGCUAAAUAGAAAUUCAUUUCCUUUCUUGAUGGUUUUUUCCUGUAGGAACCUGGAGAAGCAGAAGAGGAGUUUGCUCGUGUUGACACUGCAAGGAUAAUAAAGAAGUUCUUAACAUCUCGAAGACCAGGCCCUCUGUGUGUACCUAAAGAGGUAGGAUUUGGAGGCUCACCUCAUAACCCAAUCCAAUUGCCCUCUUGGUUAUCUGAAGAUGAUGUCAAUUACUUCGCCAGCAAGUUCAGCCAGAAGGGCUUCACAGGUGGAUUGAACUACUAUCGAGCUAUGGAUCUGUGAGUUUUUACUCAUCAACUCUCUUUUCUUGUCACAAAAACCAAUCCUUUAUCCUUGUUUGCCUCUGAAUUCUUCCUUUGCUUUGUUUUUUCUUUCACUUGUCAUAUAACCAUUGACUUGCAUUGUUGCAAAAUUGAGCCUUGAAAGUUAAAUGCCUUCAGUUAAACUUAAUAAAUAAUAUGUUGCUGAUCAGCUCAAAUCAGACUUGUGUUGACGUAUGCAGUUGUAAUAUUGCAGCUUCACCUGGUGUAUUUGCUACAUUAGAACAAAAAGUUAAGAUGUUUAGUUGCAAAGUUUGGCUCGUUGAUUUGAAUGUGAUUGAACAUUGAUAUUGCAAGAAAUUAGCUACAUUUACUUAGAUUAGCUUACUCUUUUUAUUCAACAAAGACAUUCCGUUACUAUCACGGAAGAUAACACAGAAUUAGGUGCAUAAUUUUCUUUGACUGCUGCAGAAAUUGGGAGCUCACAGCUCCUUGGACAGGAUUGCAAAUAAAGGUGCCUGUUAAGUUUAUUGUGGGAGAUCUUGACGUGACUUUCACUACCCCGGGUGUGAAGGAAUAUAUCCAGAAGGGUGGAUUUAAAAGAGACGUGCCGUUCUUGCAGGAAUUAGUUGUAAUGGAAGGAGUGGCUCACUUUGUUAACCAGGAAAAGCCAGAGGAAGUUAGUGCCCACAUCUAUGACUUUAUCCAAAAGUUUUAGUACUUUUUCACCAUUCGCAAAUGUCAUUUUACUGCAUCUCCUAGUUGUGAUCUUUUAAAGGUGUCGUGUUUGGAAUAGGAUAUCCUAUAAAUAUCCAUGGGACGGUAGACUGUUCCUGGUCAGGAUAUUGCUUAUUUCCUUCCAAGAAAUAAAGAAGUUCGUAGUUUGUUUUUUUUUUGUGUCGAGAAUAUUGUUACUUCAAUAAAAGAUGUGUAAAUAUCUUGAGAAAACUUCUUACUGUAUUGACUAGAGAGCUGGUGCAAUACCUUUUUUUUUUUUUAACUGUAUUGACCGCAGAGUUAGUGCAAUACAUCAAGGAGCCCCUGAGAUUUUAAGAACACGUUCAUACAAGAGUCGCCCGCUUCCCCACCCUCGGGGUAGUUUAUUCAUGCAACGCUGUGAUUGGACUUUAGGUACGAAGACAGAAAUAGAGUAGCAUAGAAACUGAUAUACCUUCUUUUUAAGGGCAUAUUACUCUGGAUGGAACAACCGGUCAAGCAAUGUCAAUUUAACACAUUGCGGAUCAAACAGAACUGAAACUAUCAACAAAGCGGCUUUGUUUUAGUAAUGCCUGUCAUAUGGUUAUUAUGCUAAGGUCAAGAAGGUAUUUCUGAAAGUUGCCAGAUAUCUGCAGUCUCUCCAAGGAUUCAAAAACUUCUAAAGCGGCAUGAAUACUUGAUGAAAAGCAUAGAAUUAACAAACAGAAAUCCUUCCAUUAGGUUCAUGAAUUCAAACUUUUGGGAACUCCAUCCUAAAAUGAAGGCUUACGGAGGAACCCUUUAUUUGGAGUUAGAAAGCAGGAAAUAGGAGCAGAUAAUUGCUGUAGAAACUAGAACUUGCUGAUGAAAUCAUAAAUGUGGAUGCUGCACUCGUCUGCCUUUUCCUGGUUGAUAAAGUGGGCAGCUCCUGGUAUCACAAUCACUUCUUGCAAGUCAGGAACAUCUUUCUUGAAUCCUCCAUUGUGUAUGUAAUCUUGGAUGCCCGGUAUAUGAUAAGUUAAGUCGAGAUCGCCCACCACAAACUUAACAGGAACUUGAAUUUGCGCUUCUCUCCAUGGUGCUGAAAGCUCCCAGUUUCUGAUACAUUGGCCAUAUAUACUAAUUAGGUGGAGAUGAGAGCAUGAGUUUCUUUAUAAUAUAAAACUUGUGAGCUUAUACAACCGAUAAUUCCUUUUUUCAUGUGUCUCAACUUUGACAAUCGCUCUGUGAUUGAUUGGGAUAGUGCUGGUGUUGUGAAAAUUAUCUGAUUCAACCAGUGGGGAGUUUAACGUGGGCGUGGACUCAUUUCUUGUUAAAUGUUGAUUAAAAUGUUGUGGAGUAUCAAGUGCCAUCAGAUUAUUGAGAAUCGAAUUUAAGGAGGACGUGGUAUUAGGGGUAGCAGAAGUAGUAGAAAACUCUUACUUACAGAUCUAUACAGCGAUAGAAGUUGAAUCCUCCGCUGAAACCUGUCUUCUUGAAUUUAGUGGCAUAGUAAUUCAGGUCUUCCUGUGUCAGCCAUUCGGGCAAUGGGUUGGGAUUUUGAUGAGCAAAAUACUGAAAACCACCUCUAGGAAUACAGGGUGGACGUGUAUCACGAUUUGAAAAAAAUGCCUUCACAAGCUCGGCAGUGUCGACGCCGGCAAACUCCUCUUCCACCUCUCCCGUUGCCUGCUACGAGAAGAAACAGUAGUAGUAGUAAUCUUCCCCCAAAAUGUUGUUAUUUUUGUGUUGUUGAACUGAAAAGUACAGAAAUUAUACUGAGCAGGGGGCCGGGAAUGGGAUGAAAUAUGCAGAGCAAGUUUGUAUUUUUUGAAAGGCUUAUUUAGGAGCAAGCAUCAAAAUAAUCUACAACUCCUCAAUUAAGGUCCCGAAGUUCCAUCUGUUUAGGAAUUUUUCUCUAGCAUCCUCUUAACCAAAGCCCAAAGCUUUUUGGCAACAGUUUUACUAAUCCUAAAUCCCGUGAGAACCCCAAAAGCCGGUAUCUUUUGAGGUCUCACAGGGAACUAAUAAACCCAUUCCAAACCCCCCCAGAACUCCGAUGUGGGACAAAGCCUCCACAAACGGAGGAAGCCUGCUACUAGGCCCAACUGGAAACCCGACCCCCCCCAGAGGCUGCUUUCUCUUAACCAAAAUCCAAAGCUUUUUGGCAACAGUUUUACUAAAAACUAAAUCCCGUGAGAACCCCAAAAGCCGGUAUCUUUUGAGGUCUCACAGGGAACUAAUAAACCCAUCCCAAACCCCCCCAGAACUCCGAUGUGGGACAAAGCCUCCACAAACGGAGGAUUUGUCUAGCAUCCUCUCCUCAAUAAUCUACAACUUCCGUCCAUGGAUGGUUUCACUUUCAACUACUAAGUAGUGGUAAAGAAUAUGGGAUAAUUUCAAAAAUCUCCCCUCAGGGAGGUUUUUAACUAUUGCAGAAAACUCCCUUCUAAUUUAAAAAAUUACACCUACUUCCCUCAUAAUUAGUAUUUCAGUAACCAUAUAGACCCAUUAUGCUAUCCUAAAAUACUCCUUUGUUAUUUAGAAAAGAGAAAAACAAACUAAUAAAUUUUUUUCACAUUGCAAUUAUUAUAAACGACAAAACUACCAUCCUAACGAAUUCAAUAAACCACUUCAUCUUAAUUUUCAUAUUUUUACAAUUUUAACAAUUGCCGCCACAAAACCUCCCUUGCAAAUCAACUAUGACAAUUAAAGUCUACAUUCAUCUUAAUAUUUAGCCUCAUUUUUUUUUACCUAAAUUCAAUAUUUGAAUUAACCAAUGUUACUAUUCAACCUCAUUAUUACUAAAAUAAAGUAACCUACCAAGAAUAUUAAUAUGCAGUAACCAAAAGUAAUGCUAGAAACCACAUUCCAUGUCUUUAGAUAAAUCUGAUUGUAAUUUUUAUAUCUCAAAAUUCUUUUUUACAUAAUAGGCAUAAUUGACAUAAUACCGUAAUCUUCUUUAAUCCACGUUUCCUUCUUAGCUAUCAUUUUUAUUUUAUUGUAUGCACUAUGUAUCACCGUCAUUUUUUUCACCUUUAUUUAAUUUGACAACAAAUAUGAUCGUGCAACUUGUCAUUUUGUAAUUUUAAGUGAAUAAUAUUUAUAAAAAAAAGACAAAAAAGAGAAAGUGUGUCUGUUUGCAAAAAAAUAGUGAAUUAUAAAAUGUAGGAGAAAAAAGAUAAAAGAAAAAGUCUGAGAGAUAGAAUAAGGGUUUGGUUUGUGUGACAACAAUUAUUUUAGAAUAAAAGAUUAGUUGUAAUUGUAGAGAUUUUCUAUUUGUAGGAAUUAUUUAUAAAUAAAAGAUAUUAUAGUCAUUUUACUAUAUAAGAACGGAGGUUUGUGUAAUUAUUUAAAUCUGAAGGAACGUGAGUGAAAUUAUUCCAGAGAAUAUUUUACCUGAAAUCUGCAGACAUAGUAGUCAUCACCAAAAGUCUCGCGCAUCUCCUCUAGGGGCUUUUUGGAUGGAUUUUUGGGGUCGAAAUAGUGGUACACACAACUCAUGUUGACCAGGGCCUUGAUUCGAUCCGGUCGGAACAAGCACAAGUGCCAUGCUAUGAGAGAACCCCAGUCGUGGCCCACCAAGAACACCUUAUCUAGACCCAGACUGUUCAAAAGGGCCACAAGAUCUCCGACAACAUGGAAGGCCAUGUAGCUGCUGGGACCCGGCGGCGCGUCAGAGUCGCCGUAGCCUCGGAGAUCGGGGGCAAUAGCUCGGUAGCCUUUGGAGGCAAGAUACAGCAUCUGGUGGCGCCAGGAGUACCAAAGCUCCGGGAAGCCAUGUAAGAGUAACACCGCUGGGCCUUCACCAACCUCAGCUACGUGCAUAUUUAUGCCGUUGACAACUACACUUUGGUGCUUUAUAUUCUCCAUCUCACUGCUUAAAGACCUUUUUGACUUGCUAAUGUACCAACGGGCUAGGCCGAGACUAAAGAGAAGAGAGUUUUCAAUUAGUCACAGAAUCACUCUUAGAUGUUCUGCACGCCAGGUGUUUGUAAAAAUUUCUUGUAAACGUUGUUGUGAAAUACAAGAUGGGUUGUGUUGGUGUGUUUGUAAAAAUUUCUUGUAAACGUUGUUGUGAAAUACAAGAUGGGUUGUGUUGGUCUAACUUUUGCGUGUGUUCCUCUUAUUUUGCCUAAGUAUUUUACGUUGUUAAAUACUUGCGUGCAAGUGAGUUUAUAGGCUAACUGGUAGCGCGGCUUAUCAGUGCCGUUACGCAUGUGGUUUGUUAAGGAAAGUCAACACCUCGUAACAACUAGCCUAAUAGCUCACCAUGCCUUCACUUUUGCUUGCAUUUAUGGGUCUUGUAUAAGAGGAAAAUCGUAAUUUAGGGAGUAUUUGAUAAAAUUGAAAUGUGAAUUAUGCAUUCAAUAUUUAUUAAAUUAUUAAAUUGUAAAAUAUAAAGUCUGAUAAGUCAUUGAAUUGUUAAUUACGUAUUAAAAAAAGAUAGUGCUUAGAAAAUUUAUUUAUUACUUAUUUAUGGGAGGGAGUUUUGUUUAAAAAAUUCGAUGUUAUUUAAUUAAUCCAAAUAUUUAAUUUUUUAUUAUCAAACCCGUUUUUAACAUGUUAAAAUUUGAAUUAUUAAAUUUAAAUAUUGAAUUGAAUUAUUCAAUAGGAUCAUAGUUUCAAAGAUGGGAUGAUGUCCCGAAUUUCUGGUUUGACCAUAAAAGAAAAACACAAAAAAAAUUUUUUUUUUUUUUGCCCUUUCGGGUGGGGUUAAAAAACACCCAUGGAACGCUCCUAAUUUAAGGAUGAGCGAGUGCAUGUGAGGGAAGGUCCCAAACGUUACGCAUUAAUUACCCGCAUGGUGUCAGGACACAGCAAUCGAUCUUCCAAAUCAGACAAAUUAGACAAAUUGAUUUUGCCCCAAUGCGCAACGCUGUCGUUCUUUUUAAAGCUUCAAUAACUGAACGAUGUCGUUCCACUUAAAUGUAGCAGAAACAGCAAUAGGUAGAACGACGUCGUGGAGGGUACUCCAAUUCAUUAGCACGACGUCGUGUAGCGCAUAACAGAUUUAGUUAGCAAAUUUGAUUGUCUGUUGCUUCAUCCUAUUUGUACUAUUUUGAUUGGCGGAAAAGGUAUCAGAGUUUAUACCAGAAUUUCCCUCUUCCAAAUACAUUUCUAUAACCUCUACUUUUUGGUCCUCAGGAAUCUGGUAAUUUGUGCAGUACUUAUUGCAUUUCCUAAUCCACUCUCUCGGAUUCUCGCCACAGAACAUAGGUAAAUCAAUUUUAGGAGGAUUUGGUACAAAGAUCUUACUUGUUUCCUUCCUGAGAGUCCUGGUGUUGUCCGAGCCAAUCUGUAGCCUCUGAUUGAAUGGAGGAGUUGGUAGGAGUGGAGCUUGCUCACUCCUUUGCCUGUCAUCCUCUGGAGCAGCUCUGUCUUUGCCAAUUACUGCUCGCAUUAAGGCGCCAAACUCCUGCUUUACUUCAGCUACCAAAUUCUCCACCUUCCUACUGCUUUCUUCCAAUCCUGUACGGAGUUCCACCUGCAGUUGCUGCUGUUGUACUUGCGAGGCCUGCAGACUUUCCAUUACUUCCUGAAGCCUGAUCUCUUGCUUCUUGAUUUGUUCCUCCAAGGUCUUGAAUCUGGAACUUUCGGCCAUGGAUCACGAGCUCGUUCUAAGGAUUCAGCUAGCUCUGAUACCACUUGUCAGGCCUCUGGAUCCAUUGUCAUUCCCUGACCUUGAAUUGAUUUUGAAUCUGGUGAUAAUCGAGAAUUGUUGGAGCUGGGAAGGGUGAAAGAGAAGGGAGAGAAUUGAGAGAGAGUAGGAAUAGAGAGAGAAAAUAUUUGGAAGAGGGAAAUUCUGUUAUAAACUCUGAUACCUUUUCCGCCAAUCAAAGUAGUACAAAUAGGAUGAAGCAACAGACAAUCAAAUUUGCUAACUAAAUGUGUUAUGCGCUACACGACGUCGUGCUAAUGAAUUGGAGUACCCUCCACGACGUCGUUCUACCUAUUGCUGUUUCUGCUACAUUUAAGUGGAACGACAUCGUUCAGUUAUUGAAGCUUUAAAAAGAACGACAGCGUUGCGCAUUGGGGCAAAAUCAAUUUGUCUAAUUUGUCUGAUUUGGAAGAUCGAUUGCUGUGUCCUGACACAUGGCCAAGUCUGAAAAGGAUUAAGAAGUCCGUUGCAGCACUUUGAGUUUGCGGAAUUGAAAAUGACGUAGAAACGGCAUUGUUGUUUCUACAGCAAGUCCGACGUCAAAUGACCUUUUCAUUUUGCUUUUAGAUGUUAGGCCAGUUUUGUACCGUACUUCAAGUUUACACAAAUGUCCGAACCCAUUACAUUACUGUACUUCAUAGUAAUCGUCGAUUAAAUCCCCCGAGCCCAGACAAACUCCUUUUUCUAUUUUUAAGGUUUUUCCUCCUCCUCUUUUGCUACUGUUUGGAUAGGAAACUAUUUGAAAUAAUUUUUUUAAAAAAAUAUUGUAACAUUUUUAAAAAAUGUAUUGAUAAUACAGAUAAAUUAGUGUGUGUGUGUGUGUGUAAAUAAUGUGCAAUUCAAAGCAUUGGCCGGUUGCUGCACUUUUGCGAGUGCCCAACACCUUCAAUAAGCAUCUCAAGCUUCAAGUUCUCAUAUCGCUUGUUGAGUUUACGCAGCCUUUAACAGAAAGCAAUCAUCCACAAACGAGGGAAAGUUUCCAUAGCAAAAGGUACCUGCUUUAUUGGUCUUUAAUCUUUUAUACGUACCUGCGAUGUGAUCCGGCCGCUUGAUGUGUGUCCACCUCAUCAAACACAUAAUGUUGCUUUUUUUUUUUUUGGUAUAAAUCAUAUGUAUCUGCAUACAUUUUAUGAUCUAUGAUUAAUUCUGUUAUAGUCAAAUUGAGCCUCUUGCGGGGAUAAUUUUCCCAACGCUAGUUAGUACCUGUUGCAUACUCAAUUAAGAGAAAAAAUGCAUAAUAUGUAUGAUAAAUAAAUUUUUCAUCGCUAAAGCAAAUUUUAAUCUCUUAAAUUUCUUUCACAUAACAAUUGUUACAUUGGUAGUUACGGUGCUAAGGAUUAAUUACGUAGUUGAGAAGCAAAUAGUUGAAGCAAAAGGUGUUUUCAAGACAGGCUAACCAUAAUUAUGAGCUUAGGUAGUUAAGAUGAAAGUAGUCACCAUAGAGUAAAUAUGAGAAUUCAUAAAAUGACGUAUAACGUUUACACCAGGACUCCCUUCCUCUCCCUUAUUGCAUAGAUAUUGUCAUUUCAAAGCAUUUCAAAUACUAUUAGAUAAAUUUGGAGCUCUGGAUAAACCCAUGAAAAAUCAAAUCAAAGCAAGUGUUUUGAUGUGGAAAUGGGGAAAAAUGGUUUUAAAUUUUUAAAAUGUAACUAUGUUGUGACCAUUUUGUCCUUAAUAGUAAGGGUAAAAUUGAUAAUUAAAAGAUGACAUGUUUUUUUAAUAAGGGUAAAAAUGACAUAUUUUUUUUACCACCAAACUCUACUCACGUUUUAUAUUUAGACUAGUGGGUGAGGCAAACAUGUGUGUGUAUAUUUUAGGGAAAAAAAUAAAUAAUGCAAAUUGAUACAGAUUAACAAACUAGUCAAAGCAAGGAAAUUAAUUAGAGUCGUGAACUUUUCCCCUUGUCCAUUGAUUGAACUUGGUGGGAAACCGGGGGUAAGUAUGGUAGUAACGAAUAAGUAUAUUAGUAGGAGUUAAUGGAAGCAUGGACCGGGGGGCAUGAAAUUAGAGUUGCAAACAAGUCAUUUCCACUCAAGGGAGCUCGGCUCUAGAUCGGUCAAUAUCGAGUUUGAAUUGACUUGACAAAUGGGUCAAGUUGAAUAUACGGAUACUUGACUCGUUAGCUCGUCAAACUAGCUUGAAUUUAUAUAUUUUUAAUAAUAAAAUUAUGUAUAUGUCCCCUAUAUUUUUAUUAUUUAAUUAGGAUAAAUUGUCAAUUUUAUCCAUUUUGAAAAAAAGAAAAAUUAUUUUUUAUUUUAUUUAAAUUUGAGUAGACUCAAAAUUGAAUUCGACAAAGCUCAAAUUGGAGUUUGAACUCGAGCUUGAGUUUUAAAAUGAAAAUUCAUUGAAUUUGAAUUCGAAUUUGAACCCAGUCAAAAUUGAAUUAAGCACGACUAUUUAGACCAAAAUUCAAUUCAACUCGGAUUGUUUGCGACCAUAUAUGAAAUGGUAGUAUAGUAUUUCAUCUUGUAAUAGUAAAAUUGGGAUAAAUUUGAUGAUAGAAUUUUUCAACGCUAAAUCCAUAACAAAGGCUUUAUAAAUAGAGAGAGAUAUAUGUGCCAUUGCGUUUCCGCUCAAGGCAUCAAAUGGGUCAACUAUGCCUCUCUCGCUAAAUAAAAUUACGUCCUGUGCAACCAAAGUUACUCACGGUUGAAAAUGGUCAAAAUCGUUGGUGAGUGCAAUCGUCCGUGCCCCUUGUCCCACAUUCCAGGUGACUUUGAGUGUGUUUGGAUUGCAAAUUUAUUUCAAAUAAUAUUACGCUUGUAUCAUAAACACAUUUUUCACCUACCUUUUUAUAUUCUCAACUACUUUUUAUCUCACAUACAUCAAAUCACAAAAAAUGCUUCAAUAAUUAUUCCAAAUAAUAUUUCAGAUAAUACUCUAUCCAAACACACUUUUUGAUAUUUACCACUAUUUUCUCACUUGUCUUUCUCACGUAAUUGCAAUGGCAUGUCAAUCAGGAAAUAAUUUCAGAAACAUCUUUCUAACAAUUUAGAUUAUCUCCUCUAAAGUUUAAAAAAUUACAUUAACCUCUCUUAUUAUUAUUACUAAAUGACUACACUGACCUUCACAAAAUCUACUAAUCAUAUGAAAAUGGAGUUAAAAAAAAAACAAAAAAAAAAAAUCCUUUCCCACUAAAACCUCUUUAUUUAAAAAGCUCAUGUCUCAUUUCACCUACGACAAUAUCUAAAAACUCUCAUCUUGUUUCCUCUGAUUGGAUUUCUUGUUCAAUUAUGCAAAAAAGCCGAUCAGCCAAUAAGGAUACAUUUGUUCUAACUUAAAAUUCUUCUAUCACUAAAGUUGUUAUAGAAAUCAUGUAAGGAUAAUAUAGGAUAUUCAUUGCAUCCUUUGUGCAUAUAUUACCAAUUGUUAUCAAGACACGGCAUAUGAAGAAGGUUUCUAUAAUUUUUCAAACUUCAUAGAAGGUAACUAUAACUGUGAAAAACUUUAAGGCACGUUUAUGAAAUUAUCCCAUUAAUCAAUUCCUACUUAUCAUUUAUCAAGCCAUUCAAGAACAACCACCAUUCUUUUUUUUUUCCUUUUUUUUUUUUUUGUGGAUAGGUGCUUGUCUAAUCCUACACUUACUCCUAGUCCUACUUUAACUUAUACUAAGGGGAGGACCUAAUUGGACAAUUGAAAAAUCGACAAAGAUUAAACUACAAUCGGAUCAGACGGAUGCACUACACACUAAAGGGAGGACCGCACCAUUCUAUUAUGUCUUGUGACUACAUUGCCCCGUCAAUGGUACAAACUUUUUUUUUUUGAGGCAAUUGGACAGGAAACUUAGGUAGAGGAUCCAUUUCGGAUUCAAACUGUAGUGGAUUUGUUUGGAUAAAGUAUUAUUUGAAAUUAUUACUAUAGCACUUUUUUUUGAUGUGAUGUAUGUGAAAUAAAAAGAUAGUUAAAAAUAUACUAAGAUGAGCUGAAAAAAUAUGUUUAUGAUGCAAGCCAAAUAUUAUUUAGAAUAAUUUGCUAUCCAAACACUCUUAAAAUUAUCACUUGCUAGUAACAACAUCACCAAUGCGUGUUGCAGUGCAAGUUGAGAUAUCCUAUUUUUUUUUAAUUAAUUGACAAUAUCUAUACGCUAUGUAUACUUUAACCUAAAGGAGUGUCCAACUAGAUCAGGAAGCUAAAGAGAGAAAAAUCCACCUCUAAAUAAAAAAGGUACACUAAUGCACAUGAGCAGGUGCAAAGAUCUAUAAAACCUUAGAACUGCAAAUUCCCUAUUACAUUCUAUGCUAUGCAUGUUGGUCAAAUGCUCUCAAAUAUUCACACAUUCUUUUUAGUUCCAUUUCUAACGUUUUCCACUAAAAGUAGCUCAUAGAGUCAGUAGUAUUACACAUUUUUUUUUUCAAAAAAAAUAUAAUUCGGACUAGUCAUACUUAGCUUUGUCCUUUACCCCGUUAUUUAUCUAUUUAUUUAUUUUUUACUUCCGAGAGAAAAUAAUAAUGACGGAUAACUAAUAAGCUCAAAAUUUUCGAUUAAAAAAAGGCUAAAAAAUUAAAAACAUCGUGAAACACAUUGGUCAGUGCAUUUUUAUCGAAAAAAACCUGCGAGGUGCUGUCCUAACUCAGGAAAUGAAUAUUUAGGAUUGAUUGUCGUUGGGUCCCGUUCUCAAGUGUCAGACUGAACUUCAACGGACGCAAUCUGGACUCCCUGGGCUUGGGCUUGGGCUUGGGCUUGGGCUUGGGCUUGGGUUUCAAGUUCCACCACCGGUAAUCCCACACAAGCCACAAAUUGCACAGUCGCCGAUAUUUUUAACAAAGUGAUGGACUGUAUAGAAUAUACAGGAUGCCCGCCCCGGCGCGGCAACAAAUACUCAUUACCUAUUUGCUUUCAUUGCAGACUCUUUUGCUAAUUCAAAUCCGAAUGGACUGUAAAAAAGUGAUGAUUUAACUUUGAAGUGAAAAUCUCCCCUAACAAGUCAGUAGUGUAAAGACGAAGACAGAUACCAGUUAUUUUUCCAAUCACCACCACCUGUAACACAUUUAAACCCACAUCCACACCGGGGAGACACCUCAAAAUCACGGACCGGAAACUUGGCGGAGGUGAUACCAACCGAGAACUCAAGAUCUUCCCCAUUCCGUCUUACCUCCACUAUCUUCAACGACAGCUUCAGCACUUCAACGCUAACACCUCUGAGUUUGGUGAGCCGAUCCUUCGAUAUCACUCCGGAUAUGGUGGACUUGUACCUCAGCUUGUAUAAAUUCGUCAGCCAAAAGCUGCAGGUGCCAUUUAGAUGAGCCGAGAACUCACCGGUGUUGGGCUUCAAAUCAUAGCCGGUUGCACCCUGUGGAAGAAGACCCACAGGAAAGUCGUAUUGCUCAAGAGCUUCGUAAGCCGAAGGCUUCUCCUUUCCAGAAUAAGCACAUAGGCAAAAGGGGCAGAGGCAGAGUAGGGUCAACCACGAUGACAUGGAUUGGAUACCUUUUGGCUUAAGAAAACUACUACCACCCCAAUAAUAUUCUGCUCUCUUCAUUUUUCUGGGCUUUUUCCCCGUAAUGGACGGACGUUCAAAAGUAGUGCCUCAUAUAGAAUUCGCGACAACUUCAACAGCUAAUGCCUAGUUGGUAUCUCCCGAAGUUUACAAAAUUACAUUAGUAAAGGUGAAUGAAGGAAAAAGAAAGGUAAAAUUUAAAAAAUUUUCUACUCAAAAUCAUAAAUAUCAUAGCAAACAUCAUGUCAAAAGAAAUGAAUAACCUAUUUUGUUGAAUAUUGUGAUAACUAGUAUAAUUUUAUUGCUUAUUUAUGUUAUGUAAUUUAUUAUAUGUGAACUUUUUGACUAAUAAAAUAUGUGUAUUAAUUAUUUUUAUUUUUUUAUUAAUACAACUUAUAUACAUGCAUAUUAUGAAAUUAAAAUUCCAUCUCUCUUCUCAAAGUAUUUUUUUAAUGUUAUUUUUUCUAAUUGAACUAAUUUUGUUAUCAAAACUUUAACUUUAUGAGAGAUUUGUAUUACUUUACAAACUUCAGAGGAGGCUAGUGAAAUUAUUAAAAACCUUAGGGGAGGUAUCUGAAAUUAUCCCUAACGCCUAAUGGGGAAUUUUGACCCCAAAAAAAAAAUGCCAAAUGGGGAAGGCUACAAAUAAUUGUCGCUAUUGGUACACUAUCAUCUUAGCUGUCAUGCACCUCCAUCUGUCCACGUGCUGCUGUUUCUUUUUUUUUUUUUUGGGGUGUUUUUGUUUUUUGUUUUUUUUCGGGUGAGUUCUCCAAAUAACAAUUUAAAAAUCCAUUGAUGUUAAUACCCGCUAGACGACCAGUGCAAGCAAUCAAUAAUGAAAGUUACAAACAGAACGAGUUCUUAAACCACUGAAUGUUGCUGAUACUUCCCCUUCAAUUAUCAGAUGCCAAUCAACAUCCAGUUGAGCCAACAACCAGGGAACCUUUUUUUUUUCCGGCAACGAUGACAUUUCAACCAGGGACCUACCCAAUUCAAGAAGACAAAAAAUAGAAAGCAAUGGGAAUCUGGCGAUUAUUAGAGGGAAUAUUACAGAAAAAGCAGAGAUCAACUGUAGUAGAAUGGAGGAUUAACAGGAUAUAAUUUCCUCAAGACUCAAUUUACAUGUAAACCUUUUCUUUCCUGUACCUGUUCGGUUUUCAAGCAACGGAACAUUAUUGUAUGAGUUCUAAAAUAGACUUAAAUCAUCUAUACGAAUUCAUAUGUCCUAUUUACAGAGUAUUACUUCCCCAAUCCUCGGGUAUUAGCUUUUAUGUUUUUGAGGUUUUAGAGAUUCUAAAGCCAAAACAGAAGAGUAAUCCCGAAAAACCAUUAUUAUUUUUUGGGGGAAGGGUAGAAGGGGGGAGGGGGGGGCGUUGAUUAAUCUUUUGGUAUGUUCUUCGUUCUAAAAGGAAGAGUAAAGUAAAGAUAACAAAGAACAGCAACUGAACAGAAAGGGAAAUCACCAAAAGGUUGGCAUGAACAUAGCCAGGUAAGGACAUGAUCCCACGGUUACAAUGUCAAAAUAUAACGAAUUGCAAAAUCAAGUAAAUAAAGCAAAGAAAAAAUAAUUUUUGGUUAAGUUGGACAUAAACCAAGUCUGAUAGAGCUACCUACGAUCUUAAGAGACCAAGCAACAUUCUAAUCAGCAAACAGAAACAAGCUAUUGGAGCUGCAAGAGAGUGUGAUGAAGUACGUAACACCAAAUUUCAUGGGCAAUUAUGAAAAUUUGAAUAGAACGCGAGCCAACAUACUAUGAUUAAGCUAAUUCCAACUAGUGUAAAGUAACUGGCGAGCCAAUGGAAGAAUUACCAGCAAAUAAGCACGUAUAGAGAAUGAAUAAAUUUAAUUCACAUCUUUCAGUCGUUUUAUCAAUGCAUCUAGAGAUUUCUUCUUCGUAUUCUGCUUCGCUCCCCUUGUUCCAAAUGACCCAAACAGCCUGUCGGAUUGAUCCCUUAACUUCUCUGAAAUGGCCACUACUUUCCGGUAGUCCAAAGCAUUAUAACUUCUCUCUCGGAUAACUGGAUUUAAGAAGUUCUCAGGAUGAUUGCUCAAGAGCAAGUUAAUCAAUUGCCUUGACUCAACAAGUGCUGUUUUCAACUCAUUUGCAUCUGCAUCAGACAAAAGUGUAGCUUGGUUCUCAGCAAAUGAUUCCAACAUCCGGACAUCCACAUCAAGUCCCAUAAUAGCGUUUACGUUAAAUCUCUUAACUGAUUCCCCAAGUAAAGCUCCAACGAUCAUCUCAGAUAUGUGAGAAAGAACAUCUUGCAGAACCCUCUUAAGAACCUCAACCGGCAAAAUCUGCUGAGCAGUAGAGACGAGAGUUUCUAGAAAUAUAAUCACCUCAUUCGCAUAUUCAUUACCACCCUGUAGAGUAUCAUCGGCCAUCCAGUUCACAUUCUCAAUUAGAGUCAAAAAUCCAUCGACCUUCUGCUUAAGCAACCCAGAGAGCAUCUCCUCAGCUGCAUCACGAGCUUUCGUUAGAGGAAACUGCUUCCUGCCCCUUUCGGCCAUUCUUAAAGGAAUUCCUGAAAGUUGUGCAGCAUGGCAAAAAAAGAAGUCACAAGCACGCUCAAAUACAGCCAUAUUCGCUGCCAUCUGCAUUGCCUGAGUAACCCCGUUAACUGAAGUAUUAAUGAUCUUCAAUAAAGCCCCAUCCAGAACUUCAGCCAAGAGCCUAUCCAAAUACUUCUUCACCACAUCAUAGAACUCGAGCUGUCCGCCAUACGACAUGAAACUCACCGAAUCCUCAAUGAAUGACCGCACAAUUCUACAGCAAUCAGGCACGGUGGAAGAAAAUGGUGCAACAUAAGGGAAUGCGGGCAUAAGAUUAGAAGUUUGCAACUGAAACGAGAGAACGUUCAUGGAAUAUUCAUACUCUUUCUUCAUAUACAUCUGCUCAAGCUUAUCCGCGGCAAGAGCCUCGGCAAUCUGCUUACGACAAUCAGACAACAAGAGCUCAUGAUACUUAUCCCUGUGCUUGCUCAAAACAUCAAGCAAAGCAUCAGUAGGAUACCCAUAUCUCCGCAACGUAACGCCAAGCAAACUCACAUAAUCCUUUAUCAGUAGCAGAUGAUUUGCUGUCUGCAUUCUAGAGAAUUGAUCCUCUAAAACGGAACACAUUUUGCUCACAGCAGUAUCCCACAAAUUCUCAACCUCCAUCUUCGAAAUUAACCCCCCACCAGUCCUCAAAACUCUAUCCUCAACUAUAAAGAACCCGGCAAUUUGAGCCAAAAAGGUUUGAUGCGAUUCGAGAAAAGGGGUCAUUGAAGAUACCUGAAAAUCCGAAGUUAAUUGAAGCUUCCGGUUUUCGAAAUAAUACUGCCUGAAACGAUCCUCCAGCCCAAGAGUCUGGUGAAUAUGAUGGGCUCGGUACAAGGGCAUCAAAUCAAAUCCCAAAGCCCCUGCCCCACCGUUACCAUAGCCUUCCCUGUUAUUCUCGCAGAAUCCGUCUAGCCCUUCAUCAUCUUCUUCCUCAAGCGCGUAAACGCAGUCCCGAAGACUCAGACGACUCUGC
RNAcentral lists this long non-coding RNA (25239 nucleotides) under Coffea arabica (coffee). RNAcentral describes it as "long non-coding RNA (CARA_LNC000395)". Lineage: Eukaryota; Viridiplantae; Streptophyta; Magnoliopsida; Gentianales; Rubiaceae. The record is from RNAcentral.